GUAACUUGUUGCAGCCUAUCUCUAAGUGCUGGGUCUCUGAUGAAACACUUGAUAUAGGUCUCGGUGCUCCUCUGACCCCUGAACUUCGUCUGCUCUUACCUCUGCAGCCUCACGAAGGCCCUGAAAAAACCUCGGAGUCCCUGCUCAGAGAGAAAAUGAGAUUAGGUCCUGAUGCAGUCACUUGUCCGAUGAGAUGCCAGUGAGAUGUCCAGAGAGGAGAAGACACGGGAAAAGAGGAAGUACCAGGAUUCUACUAAUUUCCUCCCUGGGUUUUCCCUCUAUGGGUUCCCCUUCUCUCCUCCAACAUGCUCCGUAUUGUUCACUUGAUGACAACAUUUUUAUUUCAUUGGGAACUCCCAGAGACAGUGAUGAACCUACUGAGGAAAGAAGAGGAUGUUGGUAUAUAAAAAUGCCAAAAGAAAUAUGGAAAUUGAAAUCAUGUAGUUGGCAUUGGGAAUUGAAAACAAAAUAUAGACAAACUGCUGCAUUUUACAUCUGUGGGAACUAAAUCGAAGAAAGAUUAAGUGGGCUGUCUGAGAUGUCCACUAGUGAGUAUUUGAGGAUCAUCAGACUCCUAUUCCAAAGCACUAUCCUGGGAGGUAAAUCGUAAGUUCUUCAGAUGUUCUGACCUCUCCAUCUCUUUUCAUGCCUGUUCUG
Molecule: long non-coding RNA, 657 nt
Filed under: Fukomys damarensis (Damara mole-rat)
Lineage: Eukaryota; Metazoa; Chordata; Mammalia; Rodentia; Bathyergidae
Description: lncRNA (ENSFDAG00000029807.1)
Source: RNAcentral